UUGCGCCUACGGGGCGCAGCAGUGAGGAAUAUUGGUCAAUGGGCGGGAGCCUGAACCAGCCAAGUCGCGUGAGGGAAGACGGUCCUAUGGAUUGUAAACCUCUUUUGUCGGGGAGCAAAGAGGCCACGUGUGGUCAAAAGCGAGAGUACCCGAAGAAAAAGCAUCGGCUAACUCCGUGCCAGCAGCCGCGGUAAUACGGAGGAUGCGAGCGUUAUCCGGAUUUAUUGGGUUUAAAGGGUGCGUAGGCGGGACGGUAAGUCAGCUGUAAAAGUGCGGGGCUCAACCCCGGCGAGCCGUUGGAACUG
Molecule: ribosomal RNA, 305 nt
Filed under: uncultured bacterium
Lineage: Bacteria
Description: bacterial SSU rRNA
Rfam family: Bacterial small subunit ribosomal RNA
Source: RNAcentral